AUGAAUUUCAUGCUUCUGGGCUGCCGAUUGAGCGUUAUUGAAGAGACUGGGGUUCCAUUUGAAGUGUCCAUGGUAGGAAUUUGGCAUAGCUUCUGCACAGGUAACUUUCUGUUCUAUAAUACAGUAAUCAUAGAUAAUCUGAAGCCUUUUUUCAAGGAGUCAUUACUAUGGUACUCUUGCUUGGGAGUUUGUACUAAGGCCUUUCAGUAUUUAAGGAGAGACAAGCCAUGUGCUUAUGACACCUUUUUAAAUAAAGGUCCCCAACAAUAA
Non-coding RNA from Vicia faba (fava bean), 270 nucleotides. The record is from the annotation of a GenBank genome assembly. NCBI's taxonomy places the organism in Eukaryota, Viridiplantae, Streptophyta, Magnoliopsida, Fabales, Fabaceae.